This 252-nucleotide ribosomal RNA is filed under the name uncultured bacterium. RNAcentral's name for it is "partial 16S ribosomal RNA". It matches the Rfam family "Bacterial small subunit ribosomal RNA", at positions 525 to 775 of the family's 1533-position model. The record is from RNAcentral.
ACGUAGGGCGCGAGCGUUGUCCGGAAUUAUUGGGCGUAAAGAGCUUGUAGGCGGUUUGUCGCGUCUGCUGUGAAAGGCCGGGGCUUAACCCCGUGUAUUGCAGUGGGUACGGGCAGACUAGAGUGCAGUAGGGGAGACUGGAAUUCCUGGUGUAGCGGUGGAAUGCGCAGAUAUCAGGAGGAACACCGAUGGCGAAGGCAGGUCUCUGGGCUGUAACUGACGCUGAGAAGCGAAAGCAUGGGGAGCGAACAG